RNAcentral lists this ribosomal RNA (221 nucleotides) under uncultured bacterium. RNAcentral's name for it is "partial 16S ribosomal RNA". It matches the Rfam family "Bacterial small subunit ribosomal RNA", at positions 116 to 334 of the family's 1533-position model. The record is from RNAcentral.
CGUAGAUAAUGUACCUUUGGGUGGGGAAUAACAGUCGGAAACGACUGCUAAUACCGCAUAAUGCAGCGGCAUCAUAAGAUGACAGUUGUUAAAGGAGCAAUUCGCUUGAAGAGGAGCUUGCGGCAGAUUAGCUAGUUGGUAAGGUAAUGGCUUACCAAGGCUACGAUCUGUAACCGGUCUAAGAGGACGGUCGGUCACACUGACACUGAAUAACGGGUCAG